GAACCGGAAGCCGGGUUACG
RNAcentral lists this small nuclear RNA (20 nucleotides) under Arabidopsis thaliana (thale cress). Its description in RNAcentral is "snRNA_05404". The record is from RNAcentral. Lineage: Eukaryota; Viridiplantae; Streptophyta; Magnoliopsida; Brassicales; Brassicaceae.